GUGAAAUUUUUAAUUAGGGGGAAUUUCUUUAAUAAUCUGUUGGAGCUAAAAAGUUUAGGUAAAAAACCAGGAUUAGAUACCCUGCUAUUCUAGAUAAUAGUGUGAAUGGGGUAGUAAAAGUUGUUCUUCAAACCCAAAGAUUUUGGCGGCAUCCUAUCCUAAUAGAGGAGCUUGUCCUGUAAUUGAUAAUCCUCACUUUAUCUUACCUCUUUUUGUGUAGCUUGUAUACCGCCGUUGUCAGAUUACUUUAGAAGAAUGUUUUCAAGAAAAAUAUUUUUUUUACUUCAGGUCAAGGUGCAGCUUAUGGAGAGGUAGCGAUGAGCUACAAUUUACAUUAAAAAUAUGAAUUCUAGGUUUAAAAUCCGGUGGAAAGUGGAUUUAUUAGUAAAUUUACUUAAGUAUAGUAAGUUGAAUGAGGCAAUGGGGUGUGCACAUAUCGCCCGUCACUCUCUUCUUAAG
Molecule: ribosomal RNA, 459 nt
Filed under: Daphnia obtusa group sp. 8 SA
Lineage: Eukaryota; Metazoa; Arthropoda; Branchiopoda; Diplostraca; Daphniidae
Description: partial small subunit ribosomal RNA
Rfam family: Microsporidia small subunit ribosomal RNA (bases 108-459)
Source: RNAcentral